RNAcentral lists this ribosomal RNA (426 nucleotides) under Megaselia meconicera. RNAcentral describes it as "partial 16S ribosomal RNA". Lineage: Eukaryota; Metazoa; Arthropoda; Insecta; Diptera; Phoridae. The record is from RNAcentral.
UUUUUGAAUUUAAUUUAAAGUCUAACCUGCCCACUGAAUAAAUUUAAAUGGCCGCAGUAUCCUAACUGUGCAAAGGUAGCAUAAUCAUUAGUCUUUUAAUUAAAGGCUGGAAUGAAUGGUUGAAUGAAAUAUUAACUGUUUCAUAAAAAUUAUAAAUAAAAUUUUAUUUUUUAGUCAAAAAGCUAAAAUAAAAUUAAAAGACGAGAAGACCCUAUAAAUCUUUAUAUUUAAAUAAUUUUAAUUAUAUAGAUUAAUUAAAUUAUAAUUAUUUUAAAUAUUUUAUUGGGGUGAUAUUAAAAUUUAAUAAACUUUUAAUUUAUAAUUUACAUAAAUUAAUGAAUUAUUGAUCCAUUUAUUAUGAUUAAAAAAUUAAGUUACUUUAGGGAUAACAGCGUAAUUUUUUUAGAGAGUUCAUAUUGAUAAAAA